GAUGAACGCUAGCUACAGGCUUAACACAUGCAAGUCGCGGGGCAGCAUGUCGGUUGCUUGCAACCGAUGAUGGCGACCGGCGCACGGGUGAGUAACGCGUAUCCAACCUGCCCUUCACCACGGAAUAAUCCAGUGAAAAUUGGUCUAAUACCGUAUGAGGUCAUACGAUGGCAUCAGAAUAUGACGAAAGGUUUAGCGGUGAAGGAUGGGGAUGCGUCUGAUUAGCUUGUUGGCGGGGUAACGGCCCACCAAGGCGACGAUCAGUAGGGGUUCUGAGAGGAAGGUCCCCCACAUUGGAACUGAGACACGGUCCAAAACUCCUACGGGAGGCAGCAGUGAGGAAUAUUGGUCAAUGGGCGUGAGCCUGAACCAGCCAAGUAGCGUGCAGGACGACGGCCCUAUGGGUUGUAAACUGCUUUUAUAAGGGAAUAAAGUGAGUCUCGUGAGACUUUUUGCAUGUACCUUAUGAAUAAGGACCGGCUAAUUCCGUGCCAG
RNAcentral lists this ribosomal RNA (495 nucleotides) under uncultured bacterium. RNAcentral describes it as "bacterial SSU rRNA". It matches the Rfam family "Bacterial small subunit ribosomal RNA", at positions 28 to 511 of the family's 1533-position model. The record is from RNAcentral.